AUGCUGCGUUUCUUCUACCCAGAAUGCUGCAGUGAGAGGAAGUGGUCUCUGCUUACGCUGAAGCUCAGGGCUGUCCACCCAAUCAGUAUAACAGCGCAGGCAGAGAGGACGAGGAGCGCAGACGGGAGAGAACAGACAGCGAAGAUGGUGACGCGGAGCGCUCUGCGCGACAAGACCUCCUUAAAACCAAGAAUAUUAUCGACGAGGAUGGCGUCGACCCGUCCAGAUGAAAGAGCAGGUCGCAACGGUGGGAACAUGGAAAACUGUGAAGAUUUCAACUGACGGCAACGAAGAGAAACAAGGAUUUAACUGUCUACGCAUUUUAAAUUCGCUUUGUCCUUGAGAGGACAUAAUGUCCUUGUAACACUGAAAGCAGAAAAAAUAAAUUAAAUUUAAACAUUGUUGUAAUAAUGCA
Long non-coding RNA from Cyprinus carpio (common carp), 415 nucleotides. Lineage: Eukaryota; Metazoa; Chordata; Actinopteri; Cypriniformes; Cyprinidae. The record is from Ensembl.